UAUCUUCGGGGCAGGGUGUAAUUCCUGACCGGCAGUAAAGCCUGCGAGCCUGAGAAGGUUGAUUCGGUGCAAUUCCGAAGCCGACGGUAUAGUCCGGAUGAAAGAAGAUG
This 110-nucleotide non-coding RNA is filed under the name uncultured Ruminococcus sp. RNAcentral describes it as "FMN riboswitch (RFN element)". It matches the Rfam family "FMN riboswitch aptamer (RFN element)". From Rfam's summary of the family: The RFN element is a highly conserved domain that is found frequently in the 5'-untranslated regions of prokaryotic mRNAs that encode for flavin mononucleotide (FMN) biosynthesis and transport proteins. Lineage: Bacteria; Bacillati; Bacillota; Clostridia; Eubacteriales; Oscillospiraceae. The record is from RNAcentral.